GUUGGUUUAAGGGUUCUUCUGGAGAUGCUCUGAGCCCGUGAUCAGAUGUAACCACCACAGACGAAAUAACUGGAACUUUGCCACACGAAACGUUCUCGAUUUGCGCAGCACCAAGCCACACCAACUGAUCUCUUUCCCCGUCGACGUGCAGGCGGAGGGGGCACAUUCCACCGAGGUUGGGGCUGUCAAAAUCAGGUGCCCUUCCAGAUCCCAGAGGAGAGAGAGGCCCCGGCGAGUCCGCCGCCCGUCCAGAUCCUGCCGAUCCAGUCACGGGUUCAUCGCCUUGCCGGCUUUGUCUACUGGUAAGCACAACACAUACGACUCGCAUGCCCCAGCGCCCACCCGCCUAGCUCCCUUAUCAUCCUCCUCGCGGACACCGACGCGCGCCUGACUGUUUUGACGUUUGCUUGCUGGCAAGGAGCCGUCUUCUUCCUCGCCGGGAAAUCUCCUUCGCUGCCUCGCUUGCGUCCCUGGGCUUCUUGUUCCACACCAUCGCCUGGCUUCGUCCCCUGCAAAUUUUGAAACUGUCAGAAGCCUAGGUAAUGCAUGUGGUUUGGGGAUCUAUGAGCUGUCAGUGAGCUGGGAUUAGGGCUUGUUAAUCGGCCUUGUAAGGGAGAAUCACUCCUAUAAAUACCUGUACUUGGUGAUUGAGAAGGAAUAACAGAAAUAAUACAACCAAAUACCAAAAUCGAAGUCCACUUGCCUAACUG
Molecule: long non-coding RNA, 710 nt
Filed under: Zea mays
Lineage: Eukaryota; Viridiplantae; Streptophyta; Magnoliopsida; Poales; Poaceae
Description: long non-coding RNA (ZMAY_LNC005142)
Source: RNAcentral